CUGGGUGUGGGUCGCCCCGGACGGCGGCCCGGCCCUGGUCGGCUGGGGCGAGAUCGCCCGGUUCGAGGCCGGCGGGCCCGGGCC
This 84-nucleotide transfer RNA is filed under the name Propionibacterium australiense. Its description in RNAcentral is "tRNA-???(gg)". The record is from RNAcentral. Lineage: Bacteria; Bacillati; Actinomycetota; Actinomycetes; Propionibacteriales; Propionibacteriaceae.